ACCCGGCGUCAGCACAGUCUCUCAGGGGCAGCAUUGUUGUUAUCGGCGUCUUUGUUCAGUUUUCUGCGUUUCUCAUCCGGUUCUUGGAAACUCAGAUCUGUUCUCAGGAUCAGAAUCUCACCUUCAGGAAGAAAUAACAAUAGAUUCAGAGAUUUAGACCUGAGUCUGAAACCUUUUAUCUGUCCUGAUAAAGUCAAGCUUUUUUUAUUGCCAGAUUAUUUUAUCCUGUUUUGUUAUUUUAUUGAAUUUUGUCUGUAUUAUUAUCUUUAUCUGGUCAUGUGUUGUGUGGUUAGAAUCAGUGCAUCUAUAAAGCUCACAAAACAUUUUUCUGAAGCUCUGUGGGGCCUGAUGUGCAAACCUGCACGUGUUGAAAACCCAGAACUUGUUUUUUCUUUCCAGUUGAUAUUUGUUUUUACGUGCUCGCUAGCAUCCUAAUGAACCUUAAAGCUUUAGUUUUUAGUUUUUACACAGGUUCAGCUCACAGCCUAUAAUUUCUCUUCUUUCGAUAUAAACGGUUCCUUUGUUAAGAAGAAAUGACCGUUAAACGUGUUUGUGGACAUUUGCAUGGAAACAGACAUAAAGUGAUAAUUAAUAAUUAACAUCAUGUUUCAAUGACGAUCUGCCAACAGGCCGGGUUUGAGAAACACCACAUCUUAGUCAUUUUGCUAAUUAGAUGCUUUUAAUUAGAUGCUUUGUACAUGAGAAUAUUUUGUGUGGAAAAGAUAAUUAAUUGUGCAAAACAAGAUAAUUUGAAUUAUCUAGAAACACAAAAAAUAUCAAAUGAAAUUAAACUUUUUGGAAACAACAACUGAGAUAACUCCAAGGGAGAGAAUGACCAUAGAAAAUAAGAAUCUGGUCAAACAUCAUUUGUAUGAUAUGAGCUUAUUAAGAAAACAUGCUAAUAACAUAAUGGGGCGACUAACUACAGUCAGAUAUGAAAUUGUGUGAGGAAGAUAAUUGAAUUGUUGAUCUUUCAGGACUAAACUGUGUAUUAUUGACAUCUCUAAUGUUAAAUACCAGCAGUCCCCACACAACAAACUGCGACUGCGAUAUUUUGUAUUAAAGUGAAAUGAAUGUGUGUUUCUGUUUCCUGUGUUUUCUAGUAUUUGCCUUUUUCGGUUUUGUUAUGUAACCUCCUCCUGUGCAGACACAGAGCUACAGACUGACUUUAUUCCUCCUUAUGUAACACAUGACGACUGAAUAAAUCUGCUGUUUUCUCUCCAGUUGUGUCUGUUUUCACUUCGAUCUGACUCAAAGUGUCGAAUGUUUUCUGUCAUUUCCUUCUGACAUUCUGGUGCAGUGGUAAAAGAAUAAUCUUGUCUUUUUGCCUUUUGUUUUCAAAGCCUGCCCCCCAACUCAUCCUGCAGUUACACCUGUACACCCAUCACCUGUCACCUCAUUGCCCCGCCCACCUGCAGCUCAUUGCACCUGAACCUGCACUGAAUGUUAACACACCUGUGCAGAUAUUUGUGGUGUCCUGCAGUCGCUGAGUCAGGACGUCGCAGAUAACUGUGAGUUGUCAAAGAAGAGGAAGAAUCACAGGUGUACCCAAGAGUGUUGAGGCUCAGGUAAAGUGGCACACGGCCCUCGUGCACAAUCAGCUGACCCCUGAAACUGUCACGUGACAAAACCAAUGGAAAGCCCUUCUCCUGCGAACACGUAUGAUCCUGGUCACGUGUCCAGGCUGUUUCCCUCCCACACUGUGAUUACAAGCAGCUGCACACACCACAGCUGGAAUAAUCAUGAGUGUGUAUGGCUGUGUUGGUGAGGACCGGCUUGAGUGUUAUACCAUCACUGUGAGGACGUGUCGUCUGGUCCUCACAGCUUCAGAGGAUUCAGACCUGGUUUUGAGUUCAGGUCAGUGUUCGGGUUGGUGAACGUGUUCUCUCGGUGAGGGUCCUCACAAACAUAGAGGUUUAAAUGCAUGUGCUGCUAUGAAAGCUGAGCAUGAGGAAACACAGAUGUGUGUUUGUCUCCGGGUAACGUGAGCCUGGAAAAUCAGUUCAUGGGGUAAAACUGCGGUUUCCUCUGAGUCACCAGCUGACGGACUCAGUUUCCUCACACAGCAACAUGCUAAUGUCACAGCUAAUAUGCUAACAGGUCGACUGCACUGGGCCGACUCCCAGAAUUCCUCUGCCAUGACACAGAAUCAAGUUCAGGUCCCGCACGCAUUAAAAUAAAGUUUUGUUUGUAGAGAUGAGAUCAGCCAAGCAUCACAUGAUAAUUGCAUGUGAUGUGUUGUACAGCGGCCUUCGGUUUCCGCCUGCUGCCUGAGGCGGUGGAGCUAAAGGACCGCUGUGAUGUUUUAAUGAACCCUCUGGUUCAGGCAGACAUCAGGACGUGGUUAGCCUAGCUUAGCACAAACACUGGCAGCAGAGGGAAACUGCUAGCCUCUAUGUGUCUGUCUCUGUGUGUCAGGCCUGUGAUUGGCUGCUGAUCUGUCCAAGGGGGGACCUGCCUCACACCCACUGCAUGCUGCCCCCCCUCGCACCCUGGACAGCAGGAAUAAGCAGAAGAUAACAGAUUUAAAUUUAUUCCAUCAUCAGUCUCUCAGUCUCUUCCAGUGUCCCUUUGUAACGAGGACGUUAGUGCAGCUUCACCAGACCAACACUGUGUCCUGUUUAUCAAGGUUCCUCAGCAGUGACCUCAUUUCCUUCCUGUCAGCUUCCACUUCCUGCACAGCCGCUGCCUCACACACACACACACACACACACACACACACAGAAUUUCUGAGCCUCCAAAAUCCAGAAAGACGUUUUUUAAUCUCACCGACAGAAGUUGAAAUAUCACAGGAUUUUAGUUCUACAUUGACCUAACAUGAAAACCUGCUUGUACUAUAAUAACCUGCCCAGACAAGGUAAAUUUUGCAAACAAUAUCUGAUUUCUUCUAAACAAAAUGAUAAUUUGCACACUUAAAAAGAUGUGGAUUAAUGGUGUUUUCUCUGCCUCAUACAGUAUUUACUCUGUCAUGGGAGACAGAAUUAGUUUAAAGUGAAAUUUACUGCUGCUUCGAUUUUCUGCUAUGAAAUGAUUUUCACAUGAAACUGUCUGAAAUGUUGUUUAUGAUCACAUGCUAAAGAAAUGAUAGAAAUCAGUGAAAGUGUGGUUGCAUGAAUGAACAUGUGAAAGGCAGCCUCUGCUAAUUUACAUGAUACUGGAUGUAUUCCCUCUGUGUUUAGUGAAUAGCAGGAGGUGGAAUCAGUUCUAUGUGUGAAACCUGAAGCCUGAGACUAAUUUCACCAUCAACACUGAUCACAAGACGUGGAUGCAGCUCCGAGCUGCAGGUGACGACCCAGUGGGUUUCUGUUCCUCUGCUCCCUGAUGCAGCCCAGUCCCGAACCACAGAGUCCACCUGCGGCAUGUGGGGCAGAGCAGGCAGCUA
Molecule: long non-coding RNA, 3382 nt
Filed under: Mastacembelus armatus (zig-zag eel)
Lineage: Eukaryota; Metazoa; Chordata; Actinopteri; Synbranchiformes; Mastacembelidae
Description: lncRNA (ENSMAMG00000028731.1)
Source: RNAcentral